AGUGAACGCUGGCGGCAGGCCUAACACAUGCAAGUCGAGCGGCAGCGCGGGGGCAACCCUGGCGGCGAGCGGCGGACGGGUGAGGAAUGCAUCGGAAUCUACCUCGUUGUGGGGGAUAACACAGGGAAACUUGUGCUAAUACCGCAUAAUGUCGAGAGACCAAAGCAGGGGACCGCAAGGCCUUGCGCGAUAGGAUGAGCCGACGCCCGAUUAGCUAGUUGGUAGGGUAAAGGCCUACCAAGGCGACGAUCGGUAGCUGGUCUGAGAGGAUGAUCAGCCACACUGGGACUGAGACACGGCCCAGACUCCUACGGGAGGCAGCAGUGGGGAAUAUUGGACAAUGGGCGCAAGCCUGAUCCAGCAAUGCCGCGUGUGUGAAGAAGGCCUGCGGGUUGUAAAGCACUUUUGUUCGGGAAGAAAUCAUGCUGGUUAAUACCUGGUAUGGAUGACGGUACCGAAAGAAUAAGCACCGGCUAACUUCGUG
Molecule: ribosomal RNA, 484 nt
Filed under: uncultured bacterium
Lineage: Bacteria
Description: bacterial SSU rRNA
Rfam family: Bacterial small subunit ribosomal RNA
Source: RNAcentral